UAAACUAGGGCAGUUGUGUAAUUCAGAGGGCAUUUUCAUCUCCACCCUUUUCUUUAAUAAAUCACUCCUAAUGCUGGAUAAGCUGGGCUCCUGAUGGCGCUGUUCAUAUUCUCAAAGAAGUCCAGUUCAGCAGGAAAAGCUGGAGACGGAAGCCACAUUGAUCAGGCACUUCCUGCUCAGGCACUGCUUUCCAACAACUUCCGUGUACCCCUGGACUUCAACGGCAGCGCCGGCUUCUUCAGAAUCCAGCCUGUGACUCUGUGUCACUGAGUUCUCCCAAAGCAGUGUGAGCAGACGCAGUGUGUGCUGUUUUUAGGCCUGGCCCAUGAAAAUCUUCUGGGUGGAUCUGCCAUGCUUUCUCCUUCAGCCCCCUGGGUACAGACAUCAGUGAUGCCCUAAGGGGCUGGUGGAGCCACAAGGUGGAAAUGGCCUGUGCAUGAUGACAGGGACAGCCGCCCAGCUGACCCGAAUAUCCUCCCAGAACUGUUAAAUAGUGACGGUGAUGGACUUGCAGCCCCUGCUGAGCAGGAUGAACGUGGGCUCCGUGACACAUCCCGCUACUUGCAACAGUUUCUCCUUUCUAAUCUGGUGUGGUUUCCCCCCUUUCCUGAUUAAUAUUUGCCAAAAGCUUAUUGAUUUUAUCAGCCUCUUUAAGGGAACUGCUUUUGGGUUAAUGUCUCAA
Molecule: long non-coding RNA, 682 nt
Organism: Leptonychotes weddellii (Weddell seal)
Lineage: Eukaryota; Metazoa; Chordata; Mammalia; Carnivora; Phocidae
Source: RefSeq, a predicted model, not a curated record